GGGUGAUUAGCUCAGCUGGGAGAGCACCUCCCUUACAAGGAGGGGGUCGGCGGUUCGAUCCCGUCAUCACCCU
This 73-nucleotide transfer RNA is filed under the name Klebsiella aerogenes. Its description in RNAcentral is "tRNA-Val". It matches the Rfam family "tRNA". From Rfam's summary of the family: Transfer RNA (tRNA) molecules are approximately 80 nucleotides in length. Their secondary structure includes four short double-helical elements and three loops (D, anti-codon, and T loops). Further hydrogen bonds mediate the characteristic L-shaped molecular structure. tRNAs have two regions of fundamental functional importance: the anti-codon, which is responsible for specific mRNA codon recognition, and the 3' end, to which the tRNAs corresponding amino acid is attached (by aminoacyl-tRNA synthetases). tRNAs cope with the degeneracy of the genetic code in two manners: having more than one tRNA (with a specific anti-codon) for a particular amino acid; and 'wobble' base-pairing, i.e. permitting non-standard base-pairing at the 3rd anti-codon position. Lineage: Bacteria; Pseudomonadati; Pseudomonadota; Gammaproteobacteria; Enterobacterales; Enterobacteriaceae. The record is from RNAcentral. RNAcentral also lists the same sequence under 6 other names.